GCCUGAUGCAGCCAUGCCGCGUGUGUGAAGAAGGCCUUCGGGUUGUAAAGCACUUUCAGUCGUGAGGAAGGUAGUGUAGUUAAUAGCUGCAUUAUUUGACGUUAGCGACAGAAGAAGCACCGGCUAACUCCGUGCCAGCAGCCGCGGUAAUACGGAGGGUGCGAGCGUUAAUCGGAAUUACUGGGCGUAAAGCGCAUGCAGGUGGUUUGUUAAGUCAGAUGUGAAAGCCCGGGGCUCAACCUCGGAAUUGCAUUUGAAACUGGCAGACUAGAGUACUGUAGAGGGGGGUAGAAUUUCAGGUGUAGCGGUGAAAUGCGUAGAGAUCUGAAGGAAUACCGGUGGCGAAGGCGGCCCCCUGGACAGAUACUGACACUCAGAUGCGAAAGCGUGGGGAGCAAACAGGAUUAGAUACCCUGGUAGUCCACGCCGUAAACGAUGUCUACUUGGAGGUUGUGGCCUUGAGCCGUGGCUUU
This 473-nucleotide ribosomal RNA is filed under the name Vibrio parahaemolyticus. RNAcentral describes it as "bacterial SSU rRNA". It matches the Rfam family "Bacterial small subunit ribosomal RNA", at positions 381 to 846 of the family's 1533-position model. The record is from RNAcentral. Lineage: Bacteria; Pseudomonadati; Pseudomonadota; Gammaproteobacteria; Vibrionales; Vibrionaceae.